Molecule: long non-coding RNA, 2347 nt
Organism: Felis catus (domestic cat)
Lineage: Eukaryota; Metazoa; Chordata; Mammalia; Carnivora; Felidae
Exons: 5
Source: RefSeq, a predicted model, not a curated record
UGACUUUGUUAAUCAAGAGAUCAUUAGUAAUAACUGGUUUGAGUUACUUGCAGGAGAAGAAAUCAAUUUAUUAUAUGUUGACAUAUAAAAAUUGAGGUAAUAUAAGUAGGUAGAGAAGAAAUUUGGAAAGAGAAGAGAAAAAAGGAUACAUACUAAGUGAAUAGUUGAUUCAUGUUUUAAAUUGAAUACACAGUGUGUGUAAUAAGAUACAAACUGUUCCAAGUUACAGUAGUUAUUAAAUUUUGAAUGAAGCACUAUUGUGACAUAAGCAAAGUCAAUUUGAUCAGUUACAUUGGGUAUAUCUUCUGUUCUUUGUGAUAUACAAAAGUAGCUGCCAAUCAUUAAGCUAGUCUCUAAUAAACUUACUACUAAGUUUUAAAGAAAGCAGCUUUUAGAUCAAAAUCUGGCAGAUACUUACAAGCAGGCACAGGUAGUUCCUACGUGAUGUUUGCUAAGCUUACAGAAGUCCCAAAUCUCUGUCCACUCAAGGGAUCUGACUUUCCUUACAACAGAGUUUCAUUCAAGGCAUCAAGGCAGUAUGCUAGCAGUAGGAUGUAUGACUUAACAUCUGCAUAAUUACACAAGAAUCUUCUGAAUCUUUGGUUAACCACUGACUCUUCAGGAAUCCUCUUUCAGGCUCCUCUGCUGAGUAUACAAGCACCAAGAUUUAAUACUUUUUUUUCAAGAAAGAGUGAGUAAACCAUCUAGAAUAUUUCUGGCAAUCAAAUAUCUUGAAUAAUUCCUAUUUUCUCUAUUAAGAACACAUUUCUAACAUUCAUUAUAUGAAUACUAAGCUUCAGCAUUCAUCAAUGAAAUCACAUUUUUUGAAAUUCAUAAUGUUAAUUAAGAAAUGUAUUGUAUUUCCUGAGAUUUAGAAAGCAGAUGUUUCUGCCUUAGCUAGCCCCUGCAGGGUGCCAGGCCUGGGGUGAAUGGUCUUGAUAGGGACAAUCCAUCAUACCAAAGGUGUCAUUUAAGACAACUAUGUAUUACAUUUCAUGUUCUCUAAGGUGAAACAUUUUAAAGUAAAUUAUAAACAAGCCUUGUCCAGUAGAUAUUUCGAACAUUAUAUUCUUAAAAUUUUCCAUGCUAAAGUAUUUCAAAACCAAUAACAUUAGUAAUAAUUCUUUAGUGAGUUAUAAUAUUUGGACUACAUUUAUAUUUUUUCCUCUUCCACUGACUCCCCAUAUAUCUUUUGCAGCUGAUCAGUCCAAACCAGGUUAUAUUUUGCAUCUGGUUUUUAAACCUUUUAAUUACUUUGUUUUCAAUCUUCAAUAGGCUUUCUUCCUUUGGUUGCUUUGAUCUUUUCUGUGGGAUUUUUUACUUUCUAAUUCGUCUGAUUCCUCUUUAGAGUACUGCUUAGAUAAUUGCUUUAUUCCUGUUAUUCCUCUAGCCUGAAAGUCAAGUCUCUCAUAGAGAAGAUGUCUAUAUAACUAAUCAGAUUCACCUACACGAUCCAAAUAUCUCUGUGUUUGAGGGAGACAAGUUGGUGGUAAAAGUGAGGCAGUUGUCAGAUGUACCCAGUCCUGACUCAGCCAUCUUCUUUUCUUUAAAUUCUUUUUUUUUUAUCUUUAUUUUUAAGAGAGAGAGAGACAGUGUGAGUGGCAGAGGGGCUGGCAGAGCAGGAGACACAGAAUCCGAAGCAGGCUCCAGGUUCUGAACUGUCAGCACAGAGCCCGAUGCAGGGCUCAAACCCACAAACCGCGAGAUCAUGACCUGAGCUGAAGUCUGAUGCUUAACCGACUGAGCCACCCAGGCGCCAUAUGACUCAGCCACCUUCUACCUUGCACUACAUGUCUAUGUCCGCAACAUUCAAGUCAAAAUGACUGUAUACCAGUGGUGGCUACUUGUGGACCCAAUAAUCAUGAGCAUCAAGUCUAAGGAUGGCAGAGAAGUAGGAUGAAAGACCUGAGUCCUUGAGGGCCACUAGAACAACACCAGGAGAGCUGAUCCCUGGACAUCUUGUUAGAGGAAUUACACAUGUCCUAUGGUUUAAGUAUAAUGAUGUUUCGUGGAGCAAAAAAUGAGAAGACUUUUAAGAACUUUCAAAACUUCUGCAAAACAGCAACUUCUGCAAAGAAACUGGGACUAUUUGAAAAUAUUUACACCAACCUUAAACCGACAGCGUGAAAAGGUAGAACAUUUUCAGAACAUUUCAGGUAGAAAUGUGUCAGAACAUUUAUUAUUUAAAUAAUCAUAUAACACACUGCACUCUAAUGAUAAGAAUUCUGAAAUUUAUGGCUUGAGACUCUGGUAAAUAGAAACUACUCAAAAAACCAACUGGGGUAUGGGGCACUUGGGUGGUUCGGUUGGUUGAACAUCUGACUUUGAUUUUGGGUCAGGUUUUCAU